UAGUUUAACUUGAAUCACCUGGCAGGGUAAAACCAGUCAAAGUUCCUAUUUAAUAUUUCCAGUGUUAACUGAACAAGGCACGGGCACAGAAUGAUCCUGCUAAAUUGGCUCUGUGAAGCCUUCUUUUUUCUCCCUGUGUAACAGAUUGUCCAGAKGGAAACAGUAAAAASAACAAMAAAAAAUUGGCUGCCACCAAGUUCGGACCAACUACAGCAGCAAAGAGCAAGCGCUGGAGCGAUCAGGGCCUCUUUUUCUGACCAUCUUGAAACAGCAGAUAAACACACCCCAGGCAAACUCUCCGCAGACAGAAGAUAAACUUAACUCUGCCUUCCCUCCCUGUUUACCUGAGGCGAGGAACUCAGCCCAGAAGAAUGAAAAGCUCCAUCUGCCUGCUGCACACGCCAGUGAUGGGAAUUCCUACGUGUCACCGAUUACUUCGAAAAGGGGUAGAGUACAACUUGGAAGAAGUAUACACUAAUGAGGGAAACUCUAAGCUUCUCAAACAGCUCCAGAAUUACCCGCCUCUCCUUCUCAUCAACAGCGAGGGAACCUUUCUCUUUCACUUCUACUGCUUGCUUACAUAUAAGCAGAGAAGGGCAACGUACAGCAAUAAGAGAAAGUCAURUUAUCUUUGUAUUUAUUGCAUCAGCUGCAAGCUGGAUCACCACGCAGAAGGACUAGUUACUGCAGACACUCUGGAUUCAGCCAAUGUAAAAAUAUUACAGCCCAUAGAUUUCUGCAGAACAUAYCUCAUAAGCCUCUUAUACCCAAGAUCCAUGCACUCUGGCGUGCUGGGGAAACACUUAAAAGCCACUCUAACGUGUCACCUGUAAUGCCCUGCAUCUGCUUSGCAGCUCAGUACUGCUCUACUCCUCUAAUUUUCAUCGUUACCCCAAGUUUUGGAGGUUCUGGGUAUAAAAAUCACAAGCAAAAAUGUGUAUAGCAAGAGAUCAUCACCCAGAUUCAUUCUUAGCAACCACAGGCCCCUGAAUAGAGAACAGUGUGACCAUUAAUGAAAGCGCUGAUAAAGGUAAUACUAAAUCCUACAUGGUGAAACAGUCAAAAGGUAAUUGAAGUCAUUUUUAGAAAAAGUAGCUGGACUGAGUCCUUCARAGGGUGAGAUCACAAGAUGGCUCCUGAAUAUUAAAUUUUACAGGAAUAAGAUGUUGAAURAAAAUAGUCAAACUAGUUGCCUAGCGUUUCUAAUACUAGAACUAGAAAAACUACUU
Molecule: long non-coding RNA, 1229 nt
Organism: Nothoprocta perdicaria
Lineage: Eukaryota; Metazoa; Chordata; Aves; Tinamiformes; Tinamidae
Exons: 2
Source: RefSeq, a predicted model, not a curated record